RNAcentral lists this ribosomal RNA (1136 nucleotides) under Aliarcobacter butzleri. Its description in RNAcentral is "bacterial SSU rRNA". It matches the Rfam family "Bacterial small subunit ribosomal RNA", at positions 186 to 1341 of the family's 1533-position model. Lineage: Bacteria; Pseudomonadati; Campylobacterota; Epsilonproteobacteria; Campylobacterales; Arcobacteraceae. The record is from RNAcentral.
UCAAAAGAUAAAAAGGGAAAGAUUUAUUGGUAAGAGAUUAGCCUGUAUUGUAUCAGUUAGUUGGUGGGGUAAUGGCCUACCAAGACGAUGACGCAUAACUGGUUUGAGAGGAUGAUCAGUCACACUGGAACUGAGACACGGUCCAGACUCCUACGGGAGGCAGCAGUGGGGAAUAUUGCACAAUGGACGAAAGUCUGAUGCAGCAACGCCGCGUGGAGGAUGACACAUUUCGGUGCGUAAACUCCUUUUAUAUAAGAAGAUAAUGACGGUAUUAUAUGAAUAAGCACCGGCUAACUCCGUGCCAGCAGCCGCGGUAAUACGGAGGGUGCAAGCGUUACUCGGAAUCACUGGGCGUAAAGAGCGUGUAGGCGGAUUGAUAAGUUUGAAGUGAAAUCCUAUAGCUUAACUAUAGAACUGCUUUGAAAACUGUUAAUCUAGAAUGUGGGAGAGGUAGAUGGAAUUUCUGGUGUAGGGGUAAAAUCCGUAGAGAUCAGAAGGAAUACCGAUUGCGAAGGCGAUCUACUGGAACAAUAUUGACGCUGAGACGCGAAAGCGUGGGGAGCAAACAGGAUUAGAUACCCUGGUAGUCCACGCCCUAAACGAUGUACACUAGUUGUUGUGAGGCUCGACCUUGCAGUAAUGCAGUUAACACAUUAAGUGUACCGCCUGGGGAGUACGGUCGCAAGAUUAAAACUCAAAGGAAUAGACGGGGACCCGCACAAGCGGUGGAGCAUGUGGUUUAAUUCGACGAUACACGAAGAACCUUACCUGGACUUGACAUAGUAAGAAUGAUUUAGAGAUAGAUUAGUGUCUGCUUGCAGAAACUUGCAUACAGGUGCUGCACGGCUGUCGUCAGCUCGUGUCGUGAGAUGUUGGGUUAAGUCCCGCAACGAGCGCAACCCUCGUCCUUAGUUGCUAACAGUUCGGCUGAGAACUCUAAGGAGACUGCCUACGCAAGUAGGAGGAAGGUGAGGAUGACGUCAAGUCAUCAUGGCCCUUACGUCCAGGGCUACACACGUGCUACAAUGGGGUAUACAAAGAGCAGCAAUACGGUGACGUGGAGCAAAUCUCAAAAAUGCCUCCCAGUUCGGAUUGUAGUCUGCAACUCGACUACAUGAAGUUGGAAUCGCUAGUAA